AUCCCCUGUGUCAGUCACCGAAAAUCUGGGAAUGAAUUGUGACCACUGGCCAUGUUCAUUAGUUCUUAUUUAUGAGGAGUUGACAAGCACCGUCUACCACGUCUCUUAGGGUGGCUGUAAAUUUCCCACUGUCCCAGGGAAAGACAUUAUAUUCUGUUCCGUGGUGUGCUGGAUAGCAACAGGUACUGUGAUGGGUUGAGAA
Molecule: long non-coding RNA, 202 nt
Filed under: Bos taurus (domestic cattle)
Lineage: Eukaryota; Metazoa; Chordata; Mammalia; Artiodactyla; Bovidae
Description: long non-coding RNA NONBTAT022712
Source: RNAcentral